RNAcentral lists this unclassified non-coding RNA (334 nucleotides) under soil metagenome. RNAcentral describes it as "partial contains 5.8S ribosomal RNA, internal transcribed spacer 2, and large subunit ribosomal RNA". The stretch from base 1 to 120 matches the Rfam family "5.8S ribosomal RNA", at positions 35 to 154 of the family's 154-position model. The record is from RNAcentral.
GAUGAAGAACGUAGCGAAAUGCGAUAAGUAAUGUGAAUUGCAGAAUUCAGUGAAUCAUCGAAUCUUUGAACGCACAUUGCGCCCGCCAGUAUUCUGGCGGGCAUGCCUGUUCGAGCGUCAUUUCAACCAUCAAGCCCCCGGCUUGUGUUGGGGACCUGCGGCUGCCGCAGGCCCUGAAAACCAGUGGCGGGCUCGCUAGUCACUCCGAGCGUAGUAGUUACAUCUCGCUCAGGGCGUGCUGCGGGUUCCGGCCGUUAAAAGCCUUAUUUACCCAAGGUUGACCUCGGAUCAGGUAGGAAGACCCGCUGAACUUAAGCAUAUCAUAAGCGGAGGA